RNAcentral lists this ribosomal RNA (507 nucleotides) under uncultured Glomus. RNAcentral describes it as "SSU rRNA". It matches the Rfam family "Eukaryotic small subunit ribosomal RNA", at positions 569 to 1077 of the family's 1831-position model. Lineage: Eukaryota; Fungi; Glomeromycota; Glomeromycetes; Glomerales; Glomeraceae. The record is from RNAcentral.
AGCAGCCGCGGUAAUUCCAGCUCCAAUAGCGUAUAUUAAAGUUGUUGCAGUUAAAAAGCUCGUAGUUGAAUUUCGGGGUUAGUAGGUUGGUCAUGCCUCUGGUAUGUACUGGUCUCACUGAUUCCUCCUUCCUGAUGAGCCGUAAUGCCAUUAAUUUGGUGUUGCGGGGAAUUUGGACUGUUACUUUGAAAAAAUUAGAGUGUUUAAAGCAAGCUAACGCUUGAAUACAUUAGCAUGGAAUAAUGAAAUAGGACGUUCGAUCCUAUUUUGUUGGUUUCUAGGAUUGACGUAAUGAUUAAUAGGGAUAGUUGGGGGCAUCAGUAUUCAAUUGUCAGAGGUGAAAUUCUUGGAUUUAUUGAAGACUAACUACUGCGAAAGCAUUUGCCAAGGAUGUUUUCAUUAAUCAAGAACGAAAGUUAGGGGAUCGAAGACGAUCAGAUACCGUCGUAGUCUUAACCAUAAACUAUGCCGACUAGGGAUCGGAUGAUGUUAAUUUUUUAAUGACUC